RNAcentral lists this ribosomal RNA (658 nucleotides) under Latilactobacillus curvatus. Its description in RNAcentral is "bacterial SSU rRNA". It matches the Rfam family "Bacterial small subunit ribosomal RNA", at positions 56 to 684 of the family's 1533-position model. Lineage: Bacteria; Bacillati; Bacillota; Bacilli; Lactobacillales; Lactobacillaceae. The record is from RNAcentral.
GGCAACCCCUCCGUAAGAUUGAGAGGCUUGCUUCUGAUUGAUAACAUUUGAGUGAGUGGCGGACGGGUGAGUAACACGUGGGUAACCUGCCCUAAAGUGGGGGAUAACAUUUGGAAACAGAUGCUAAUACCGCAUAAAACCUAGCACCGCAUGGUGCAAGGUUGAAAGAUGGUUUCGGCUAUCACUUUAGGAUGGACCCGCGGUGCAUUAGUUAGUUGGUGAGGUAAAGGCUCACCAAGACCGUGAUGCAUAGCCGACCUGAGAGGGUAAUCGGCCACACUGGGACUGAGACACGGCCCAGACUCCUACGGGAGGCAGCAGUAGGGAAUCUUCCACAAUGGACGAAAGUCUGAUGGAGCAACGCCGCGUGAGUGAAGAAGGUUUUCGGAUCGUAAAACUCUGUUGUUGGAGAAGAACGUAUUUGAUAGUAACUGAUCAGGUAGUGACGGUAUCCAACCAGAAAGCCACGGCUAACUACGUGCCAGCAGCCGCGGUAAUACGUAGGUGGCAAGCGUUGUCCGGAUUUAUUGGGCGUAAAGCGAGCGCAGGCGGUUUCUUAAGUCUGAUGUGAAAGCCUUCGGCUCAACCGAAGAAGUGCAUCGGAAACUGGGAAACUUGAGUGCAGAAGAGGACAGUGGAACUCCAUGUGUAGCGGGAG